Molecule: ribosomal RNA, 168 nt
Filed under: uncultured Halomonas sp.
Lineage: Bacteria; Pseudomonadati; Pseudomonadota; Gammaproteobacteria; Oceanospirillales; Halomonadaceae
Description: partial 16S ribosomal RNA
Rfam family: Bacterial small subunit ribosomal RNA (bases 33-168)
Source: RNAcentral
GUUGGCAGGGGGCACCUGAUCGCCAUGCCGCGGUGUGUGAAGAAGGCCUUCGGGUUGUAAAGCACUUUCAGCGAGGAAGAACGCCUGGUGGUUAAUACCCAUCAGGAAAGACAUCACUCGCAGAAGAAGCACCGGCUAACUCCGUGCCAGCAGCCGCGGUAAUACGAA